RNAcentral lists this ribosomal RNA (142 nucleotides) under Pseudactinobacillus ducreyi. RNAcentral's name for it is "[Haemophilus] ducreyi partial 16S rRNA. Bacterial SSU". It matches the Rfam family "Bacterial small subunit ribosomal RNA", at positions 1 to 135 of the family's 1533-position model. The record is from RNAcentral. Lineage: Bacteria; Pseudomonadati; Pseudomonadota; Gammaproteobacteria; Pasteurellales; Pasteurellaceae.
UUAAAUUGAAGAGUUUGAUCAUGGCUCAGAUUGAACGCUGGCGGCAGGCUUAACACAUGCAAGUCGAACGGUAGCACGAAGGACUUGCUCCUUGGGUGACGAGUGGCGGACGGGUGAGUAAUGCUUGGGAAUCUGGCUUAUG